This 1431-nucleotide ribosomal RNA is filed under the name Triticum aestivum (bread wheat). Its description in RNAcentral is "partial small subunit ribosomal RNA". The record is from RNAcentral. Lineage: Eukaryota; Viridiplantae; Streptophyta; Magnoliopsida; Poales; Poaceae.
AUGGACUCAAUUCUUUCUAAUGGAACUUGGGAACUAACUGAUAGACCAUAUGGUUGUAAACCUGUGGGCUGUAAGUGGGUGUUCAAAAAGAAGCUAAAGCCUGAUGGUACUAUUGAUAAGUACAAGGCGCGGCUAGUGGCCAAGGGCUACACUCAGAAAGAAGGCGAAGAUUACUUUGACACCUAUUCACCCGUUGCUAGAAUGACCACCAUUCAAGUGUUACUUUCCUUGGCUGCCUCUUAUGGUCUUAUCAUUCAUCAAAUGGAUGUAAAGACAGCUUUUCUCAAUGGAGAGUUGGAAGAGGAGAUCUAUAUGGAUCAGCCUGACGGGUUUGUGGUAAAGGGUGAAGAAAGAAAGGUGUGCAAGUUGUCAAAAUCUUUGUAUGGUCUGAAACAGGCACCUAAGCAAUGGCAUGAGAAGUUUGAAAGAACUUUGACUUCUGCAGGAUUUCUCAUUAACGAGGCUGAUAGGUGUGUUUACUAUCGCCAUGGUGGGGGCAAUAGUGUCAUAUUAUGUUUGUAUGUGGACGACAUACUGAUCUUUGGUACAAACAUUAAUGCAAUUAAUGAGGUCAAGUCUUUUCUAUCAAAAAGUUUUGACAUGAAAGAUCUGGGAGAAGCCGAUGUAAUUCUAAACAUCAAACUUAUUAAGGAUGAGAGUGGGAUUACAUUAACUCAAUCUCACUAUGUUGAGAAGGUCUUGAACCGAUUCGGUUUUAUGGAUAGCAAGCCUUCUCCAACACCUUAUGAUCCCAGCGUGACACUCAGAAAGAACAAGAAAGAAACGAGAGAUCAAUUAAGAUACUCUCAAAUUGUCGGUUCACUCAUGUACUUAGCUAGCGCUACAAGACCAGAUAUCUCUUUUGCUGUGAGCAAACUGAGUAGGUUCAUGUCCAACCCGGGUGAUGAUCAUUGGCAUGCACUAGAAAGGGUCUUGCGCUAUCUGAGAGGUACUAUGAGUUACGGAAUUACUUAUUCAGGGCAUCCUGCUGUGCUAGAAGGAUAUAGUGAUUCAAAUUGGAUCUCCGAUGUUGAUGUACUUUACGCAACAAGUGGGUAUGUAUUUACUCAUGGUGGUGGCGCAGUGUCAUGGAGGUCUUGCAAGCAAACCAUAUUGACGAGGUCAACUAUGGAAGCAGAAUUAACUGCUUUGGACACAGCUACUGUUGAGGCAGAAUGGCCGCGUGAGCUCUUGAUGGACUUGCCGGUUGUUGAAAAACCUGUACCGGCUAUUCUUAUGAAUUGUGAUAACCAAACACGUGAAAAGACGUUUGAAGUCUGUCAGGAAGUUGAAAACUCCGGAGUAAUAACUGUUACGUAUAUACAAACAGACAAAAACCUGGCAGAUCCCUUUACAAAGGGACUAUCACGAAAUGUGAUAGAUAUUGCAUCGAGGGAGAUGGGUAUGAGACCCAUAGAUGUUACACCAUAG